UUUGCUGCAACCUUGCUCUUUUCCUCUUCCUUCUUCCAUUUGCUAGAUGAAAUUCUAUCCCUCUUCGUCUUCUUUCUCCAAAAUUCCCCAGUGUUUAUAGGUUGGGUUCGAAUAAUGGUGCUCUGGAAGAACCAAACUUAGUUCUUCUAUUAACCUAUGAGAUUUGCUCAAGUGAGAAUAAAUAGUAAAGAUCUAUUCGGAUAAAGUAUGGAGAAGUUGAAGAAAACUGGAAUUGUAAACUCAAGAACAGCUGUUACACAUACGUUUUUUCACCGAAAUAUUUUCUUUUUAUUGUUGUGAUAUUGUGCUUUUAGUCAUUGUGUCACUGAGAUUUUUC
Molecule: non-coding RNA, 337 nt
Organism: Nicotiana tabacum (common tobacco)
Lineage: Eukaryota; Viridiplantae; Streptophyta; Magnoliopsida; Solanales; Solanaceae
Source: RefSeq, a predicted model, not a curated record